Molecule: transfer RNA, 69 nt
Filed under: Ictidomys tridecemlineatus (thirteen-lined ground squirrel)
Lineage: Eukaryota; Metazoa; Chordata; Mammalia; Rodentia; Sciuridae
Description: Spermophilus tridecemlineatus (thirteen-lined ground squirrel) tRNA
Rfam family: tRNA
About the family: Transfer RNA (tRNA) molecules are approximately 80 nucleotides in length.
Source: Rfam by way of RNAcentral
GGGGCUGGGGCUCAGUGGUAGAGUGCUGGCCUAGCACAUCGGAGGCCCUGGGUUCAAACCUCAGCACCA